This 314-nucleotide unclassified non-coding RNA is filed under the name uncultured Propionibacteriales bacterium. RNAcentral describes it as "contains 16S-23S intergenic spacer region". The record is from RNAcentral. Lineage: Bacteria; Bacillati; Actinomycetota; Actinomycetes; Propionibacteriales.
UCCGGUUUAUCACCGGCAGUCCCUGCAGAGUCCUCGCCUUUACGCGUUAGCAACAGCCAUGCAGCACCUGUAUACCGACCUUGCGGGGGCUACAUCUCUGCAGCUUUCCGGCAUAUGUCAAACCCAGGUAAGGUUCUUCGCGUUGCAUCGAAUUAAUCCGCAUGCUCCGCCGCUUGUGCGGGCCCCCGUCAAUUCCUUUGAGUUUUAGCCUUGCGGCCGUACUCCCCAGGCGGGGCGCUUAAUGCGUUAGCUGCGGCACGGAACUCGUGGAAUGAGUCCCACACCUAGCGCCCAACGUUUACGGCGUGGACUAC